ACGCUGACAGAAUGCUUAACACAUGCAAGUCGAUGAUGGGAGCUAGCUUGCUAGAAGAAGUCAUGGCGGACGGGUGAGUAACGUGUAAAGAACUUACCAUAUAGACUGGGAUAACAGAGGGAAACUUCUGAUAAUACUGGAUAAGUUAGUAGUAGCAUUACUAAGUAAUGAAAGGUAGUAAUACGCUAUAUGAGAGCUUUGCAUCCUAUUAGCUAGUUGGUGGGGUAAAAGCCUACCAAGGCGAUGAUAGGUAGCCGGCCUGAGAGGGUGGACGGCCACAAGGGGACUGAGAUACAGCCCUUACUCCUACGGGAGGCAGCAGUGGGGAAUAUUGGACAAUGGAGGCAACUCUGAUCCAGCAAUUCUGUGUGUGUGAAGAAGGUUUUAGGACUGUAAAACACUUUUAGUAGGGAAGAAAGAAAUGACGGUACCUACAGAAGAAGCGACGGCUAAAUACGUGCCAGCAGCCGCGGUAAUACGUAUGUCGCGAGCGUUAUCCGGAAUUAUUGGGCUUAAAGGGCAUCUAGGCGGUUAAACAAGUUGAAGGUGAAAACCUGUGGCUCAACCAUAGGCUUGCCUACAAAACUGUAUAACUAGAGUACUGGAAAGGUGGGUGGAACUACACGAGUAGAGGUGAAAUUCGUAGAUAUGUGUAGGAAUGCCGAUGAUGAAGAUAACUCACUGGACAGCAACUGACGCUGAAGUGCGAAAGCUAGGG
This 718-nucleotide ribosomal RNA is filed under the name uncultured Sneathia sp. Its description in RNAcentral is "bacterial SSU rRNA". It matches the Rfam family "Bacterial small subunit ribosomal RNA", at positions 33 to 765 of the family's 1533-position model. Lineage: Bacteria; Fusobacteriati; Fusobacteriota; Fusobacteriia; Fusobacteriales; Leptotrichiaceae. The record is from RNAcentral.